RNAcentral lists this ribosomal RNA (468 nucleotides) under Aeromonas veronii. RNAcentral describes it as "bacterial SSU rRNA". It matches the Rfam family "Bacterial small subunit ribosomal RNA", at positions 54 to 509 of the family's 1533-position model. The record is from RNAcentral. Lineage: Bacteria; Pseudomonadati; Pseudomonadota; Gammaproteobacteria; Aeromonadales; Aeromonadaceae.
CAUGCAGUUCGAGCGGCAGCGGGAAAGUAGCUUGCUACUUUUGCCGGCGAGCGGCGGACGGUUGAGUAAUGCCUGGGGAUCUGCCCAGUCGAGGGGGAUAACUACUGGAAACGGUAGCUAAUACCGCAUACGCCCUACGGGGGAAAGCAGGGGACCUUCGGGCCUUGCGCGAUUGGAUGAACCCAGGUGGGAUUAGCUAGUUGGUGAGGUAAUGGCUCACCAAGGCGACGAUCCCUAGCUGGUCUGAGAGGAUGAUCAGCCACACUGGAACUGACACACGGUCCAGACUCCUACGGGAGGCAGCAGUGGGGAAUAUUGCACAAUGGGGGAAACCCUGAUGCAGCCAUGCCGCGUGUGUGAAGAAAGCCUUCGGGUUGUAAAGCACUUUCAUCGAGGAUGCAAGGUUGGUAGCUAAUAACUGCCCUCUGUGACGUUACUCGCAAAAUAAUCACCGGCUAAUUCCGUGCC